Molecule: ribosomal RNA, 301 nt
Filed under: uncultured bacterium
Lineage: Bacteria
Description: partial 16S ribosomal RNA
Rfam family: Bacterial small subunit ribosomal RNA
Source: RNAcentral
CAGUCGCCGCGGUAAAACGGAGGGAGCUAGCGUUGUUCGGAAUUACUGGGCGUAAAGCGCGCGUAGGCGGUUACUCAAGUCAGAGGUGAAAGCCCGGGGCUCAACCCCGGAACUGCCUUUGAAACUAGGUGACUAGAAUCUUGGAGAGGUCAGUGGAAUUCCGAGUGUAGAGGUGAAAUUCGUAGAUAUUCGGAAGAACACCAGUGGCGAAGGCGACUGACUGGACAAGUAUUGACGCUGAGGUGCGAAAGCGUGGGGAGCAAGCAGGAUUAGAUACCCCCGUAGUCCCUGUCUCUUAUAC